CGGSRKKSCCUUAAMMMAUGCAAGUCGACGAAGGCUUCGGCCUUAGUGGCGCACGGGUGCGUAACGCGUGGGAAUCUGCCCCUUGGUUCGGAAUAACAGUUGGAAACGACUGCUAAUACCGGAUGAUGACGUAAGUCCAAAGAUUUAUCGCCGAGGGAUGAGCCCGCGUAGGAUUAGGUAGUUGGUGUGGUAAAGGCGCACCAAGCCGACGAUCCUUAGCUGGUCUGAGAGGAUGAUCAGCCACACUGGGACUGAGACACGGCCCAGACUCCUACGGGAGGCAGCAGUGGGGAAUAUUGGACAAUGGGCGAAAGCCUGAUCCAGCAAUGCCGCGUGAGUGAUGAAGGCCUUAGGGUUGUAAAGCUCUUUUACCCGGGAUGAUAAUGACAGUACCGGGAGAAUAAGCUCCGGCUAACUCCGUGCCAGCCGCCGCGGUAAUACAA
Molecule: ribosomal RNA, 443 nt
Filed under: Sphingomonas faeni
Lineage: Bacteria; Pseudomonadati; Pseudomonadota; Alphaproteobacteria; Sphingomonadales; Sphingomonadaceae
Description: bacterial SSU rRNA
Rfam family: Bacterial small subunit ribosomal RNA
Source: RNAcentral